RNAcentral lists this ribosomal RNA (109 nucleotides) under Scophthalmus maximus (turbot). Lineage: Eukaryota; Metazoa; Chordata; Actinopteri; Pleuronectiformes; Scophthalmidae. The record is from RNAcentral.
GCUUACGGCCACACCGCCUGGUUCACGCUUGAUCUCCGAAGCUAAGAUAGGUUGUGCCUGGUUAGUACUUGGAUGGGAGACCGCCUGGGAAUACCAGGUGCUGUAAGCU